Molecule: long non-coding RNA, 840 nt
Filed under: Marmota monax (woodchuck)
Lineage: Eukaryota; Metazoa; Chordata; Mammalia; Rodentia; Sciuridae
Source: RNAcentral
UCCCUACACUCUAUAUUUCCCUGAGAAUAUGGGGAAAGGGGGGUGAUGUUCUGGGUUCUUUUUUUUUCCUCCGUAUGGGGGGAUUGAACCCAGAUGUUUUUAUUUUUUAUUUUGAGUCAGUCUCACUAAAUUGCUUAGAGCCUCCCUUAGUCGCUGAGCAGGCCUCAGACUUGUGAUCCUCUUGCCUCAGUCUUUUGAGUUGCUGGGAUUACUGGUGGGUGCCUCUGCACCUGGCCUUGGUUCCUUUUUUUUUGAAGACUUCCCCUGGGGGCGGUGCCCACCCAGGAUCCACACCUCACUUCAAGAAUAUGCCCUGGGAAGUUGUGGUAGAUGGAAUGGUGCCCCCCACCAAGGUAUCCACUCUCUAGUACCUGGAACCUUUGAAUAUAUUACUUCACAUGGCAAGACACUUCACAGAUUGAACAGUGAAGGAUCCUGAGGUAGGGAGCUUAACCUGCACCAUAUGGGUGGCCCAGGCAGUCAUGUGGGACCUUAGAAGAGGAGGGCAAGAGGGUUGGUCAGAGGAGGAGAUGAGCUGAUGCAAAAGGAGGUCAGAAUGAUUUGGGGCCAUGAGCCAAGAGUGCAGGCAGCCAGGAAAGGCAGGGACUACGAUGCAGUGGAAAGACAGUGAGUCAGGUUGUCUCCUGCGACCCUGAGAGACUUUCUUUUUUCUUCUUCUUUGACAAUCAAACUGGGGAUGGAAAACAGGGGGUGCAUCACACCACAACUCAGCCUUUUUUAUUAUAAAUUUUGAGAUAGCCUCGCCAAGUUGCCCAGGCUGGCUUCGCACUUGUGAUCCUCCUGCCUUGGCCUCCCUAGGAUUACAGAUGAGCACCACUG